Astatotilapia calliptera (eastern happy) is the source of this 1024-nucleotide long non-coding RNA. Lineage: Eukaryota; Metazoa; Chordata; Actinopteri; Cichliformes; Cichlidae. The record is from Ensembl.
GAAAACUGGCACAACAAGGGGGAAUGUUGCAUAACUUCCACAAGAGGAUUACUUAAGUAAAGCUGAAAACUUUGCUGAAUAAAGGUCGGUGUGACAGAAGGAAGCAGGAGUGAGCUGAUACACAGUGGGAGCAGUGUUGGGAUUGUAAGUGUGAAGCUGUGUAGGAGAAAUGAGGCUAUUGCUGGCUGUCAGUCUCAUUCUCCUCUUCCUAUGGCUUCACAAGACUCAGACAUCUAGUGUCACCUUGCACAUGAAUGCUCGUGAGGCAGUAUCGAUGAGUGAGGCAGCAGUAUCUCUCCUCUUAUCGCCUCUGUCUCUGUACUCCUGGAUGACCUCCACGUUGCUCAGGUUCCUUCUGUCCGUCCCAGCUCUCGUCUUCAGCUCCUGGUAUCACUCCUUGCUGCUGAUCCUGGCUGGGCCUUGGUGUGUUGCCACUGUCUGCUUCUCUCUGCUGGUGACCGGUCUCCAUGUUUCUCUCUACCUACUUCACCUCGGGCUGGUGGCUGGGGCGGUAGCCAUUUUGGCUGUCAGGCAACACAAGAUGGCUGACGGUGACACCCCCAGGGAGAAAGUAUUAAGCCUACAGAAGAGCGUAGAAGGGCAGCAAACCAAAAGCAGGCUACUAAUUGGCAGACAUGGAUCUGACAGGUCACACAUCGGCUCUCUAUCUGCCAGGCUAACGUUUCUGGCAGUUUGGCAGUGUUUGCCCAGAUAUCUGUAGUCUACUGGCGGAUGCUGUCCAAGAUAAAGACAAUGUUGGAUAACACCUCCCACUCCAUGACAUGCUGGUCAGUCACAGGAGCACGUUCAGUGAGAGACUGAGAUUACCGAAAAGCACCACUGAACGACACAGGAAAUCAUUCCUGCCUGUGGCCAUCUCCCUGUACAACGCAUCCACUUAACACACUGUUUGCUGCUACAGCUACACAUGUUUCUUUUCCAACUAUUUAUUUAUGAGUGACUUAUGUAUGUAUGUAUGUAUAUAUAUGUAUAUAUUGUACUAUUCUUAGUUAGUGUAUUGUCU